CUUGGUUUUUCCGAGUGGUUAAGGCGAAAGAUUAGAAAUCUUUUGGGCUUUGCCCGCGCAGGUUCGAGUCCUGCAGUUGUCG
Molecule: transfer RNA, 82 nt
Filed under: Saccharomyces cerevisiae (brewer's yeast)
Lineage: Eukaryota; Fungi; Ascomycota; Saccharomycetes; Saccharomycetales; Saccharomycetaceae
Rfam family: tRNA (bases 7-75)
About the family: Transfer RNA (tRNA) molecules are approximately 80 nucleotides in length. Their secondary structure includes four short double-helical elements and three loops (D, anti-codon, and T loops). Further hydrogen bonds mediate the characteristic L-shaped molecular structure. tRNAs have two regions of fundamental functional importance: the anti-codon, which is responsible for specific mRNA codon recognition, and the 3' end, to which the tRNAs corresponding amino acid is attached (by aminoacyl-tRNA synthetases). tRNAs cope with the degeneracy of the genetic code in two manners: having more than one tRNA (with a specific anti-codon) for a particular amino acid; and 'wobble' base-pairing, i.e. permitting non-standard base-pairing at the 3rd anti-codon position.
Source: RNAcentral